This 77-nucleotide transfer RNA is filed under the name Felis catus (domestic cat). It matches the Rfam family "tRNA". Rfam says of the family: Transfer RNA (tRNA) molecules are approximately 80 nucleotides in length. Their secondary structure includes four short double-helical elements and three loops (D, anti-codon, and T loops). Lineage: Eukaryota; Metazoa; Chordata; Mammalia; Carnivora; Felidae. RNAcentral also lists the same sequence under 6 other names. The record is from Rfam by way of RNAcentral.
ACCUGGCUGGCUCAGUCAGUAGAGCAUGUGACUCUUGAUCUCAGUCAGAGUCAUGAGUUCAAGCCUCAGGUUGGGCA